RNAcentral lists this ribosomal RNA (292 nucleotides) under uncultured bacterium. RNAcentral's name for it is "partial 16S ribosomal RNA". It matches the Rfam family "Bacterial small subunit ribosomal RNA", at positions 505 to 796 of the family's 1533-position model. The record is from RNAcentral.
GUGCCAGCCGCCGCGGUAAUACGGAGGGUGCAAGCGUUAUCCGGAUUCACUGGGUUUAAAGGGUGCGUAGGCGGGCAGGUAAGUCAGUGGUGAAAUCCCCGGGCUUAACUUGGGAACUGCCGUUGAUACUAUCUGUCUUGAAUACCGUGGAGGUGAGCGGAAUAUGUCAUGUAGCGGUGAAAUGCUUAGAUAUGACAUAGAACACCUAUUGCGAAGGCAGCUCACUACACGGUAAUUGACGCUGAGGCACGAAAGCGUGGGGAGCAAACAGGAUUAGAAACCCGCGUAGUCC